UCUACCACAAAUUCCCACUUGUCCGCGUCUCCAGACUUUGCUUCUAAAUCGAAAUCAUAUUGCGAAGAUCACUGAGAGUUUCUUUCAAUCUUUGCCUUCGCUUAGAGUUUUGAAUCUAAGUGGAAAUCAUUACCUAACUGAACUACCUGCAGGGAUUUCAAGUUUGGUUUCAUUACACCAUCUUGAUCUGUCUUGGACUGGCAUAAGUGGGUUGCCGCAAGAGCUCAAGGCAUUGGUGAAUCUGAGAUAUUUGAACUUGGAGUAUACAAAUGAAAUGAGUAAAAUUCCACAGCAGCUGAUAUCAAGCUUUUCAAAGUUACAGGUACUCAGGAUGCUGCGUUGCGGUCCAAGCCACCCGCCAAUAGUGGAAGAAGGCAACGUUCUAUCUGCUGAUGAUGAAUCAUUGAUGAAGGAAAUCCACUGUUUGGAACAAUUAAAUCUCAUCACCUUGUCCUUACAUGGUUCGCGUGGUGUUGAAAACUUUCUGAAAUUCCCAAAGCUGCAGAAUAUCACUCAAGCUCUGUCCAUCGAAAACUGCAACAGUCUACCGCUCAAUUUGUUGCAUCUAGCAAACAUGGAGCAUCUUGAGCAGUUAAGCAUUUGGGACAGUAAUUUGGAAGACUGGAAUGUCGACUGCGCGGGAGAGGUACAAAAAAUGCGUAAACUUCACUUUGUUACAAUAUACGAAUGCUCAAAUGUGAAGGACUUGACGUGGCUUGUUUUUGUUCCAAAUCUCAAGAGGCUGCGAAUAUUUGAUUGUGAUGAAAUGGAAGAAAUAAUCAGUGUUGAAAAAUUUGAAAAAUUGAGUGAAGUUUCAGAGAUGAUGGGAGAGCUUAACUUGUUCUCAGAGCUCGAAUCUCUGAGUCUAGGAUAUGCAAGUAAUUUGAAGCGCAUCUACCACGAUCCCUUGCCCUUUCCACAGCUGGAGGAAAUUCGCAUAUCAGAAUGCCCAAAGUUGAAGAAGCUCCCGCUCAAUUCCAGCAGGGCAAAGGGACGUAAAAUUGUCAUUUACGGGGACAAAGAAUGGUGGGAAGAGCUACAAUGGGAGGAUCAAGCCACACAAAAUGCUUUCUCUCCCUGUUUCCUACCUGAUGAACAAUAAAGUGCAAUACCAAGCAAGACUUUGAAUAAAGUUUCUGCGUGUGCUUAAUGAUUAUCUUGUCUAUCCAUUUCAUUUAAUUUAAAAGCUUUCUACGGUGUUGCGUGUGUGUCACUUGUCAUUCUUCUGUACUGCUGUUUCCUAUUUCCAGUUAAUAAAAUUUUUUUGUUCUUAGAAAUGCUUUGCUGGUAAGGGAGAUUCACAAUUUUCCCAUAUUAUGAUUAAUAUAUUCUAUUUACUUUCCUACUAUUUUGCAUAAUUUUUUAAUAUUAUUUUUAUUUUUAAAUAUAUUUUUAUUCAUAUUUAUUAUAAAUUAAAUAAAUGUAUGAAUAGAAAUAAAAAUAAAAAUUAAGUAUUAAAACAAGAAAUAUAUAUUAUCAUGUGAAUAAAAAAUAAAUAUUUGUUUGUACUUAUUUAUUUUAUGUAUUCAUUAUAAGAAAAUAUUUAUAAAAUAAAAAGUGCAAGAAAGAUAUUUUAUUGUUAAUUUUUUAUUCACAUCAAAACAUAUAUUUCUUACUUUUAAUAUUUAAUUUUUUAUUCAAAUCAUCAUUCAUAUGAUUUAUUUAAUUUAUAAUAAAUAUGAAUAAAAAUAUAUUUGUAAAUAAAAGUAAUAUUGUAAAUUAUGUUGUUAGAAAUUAUUGGUUAUUAUAAAAAUAAUAUGGGAUAAAUGGUAAAUCAUAGAUAUUAUUUCCUAUUUUCAGCUAAAAAAUUUCUUUGUUCCAAGAAUUACAUUGCUAGUAAUAAGGCUUUCAAGUUGCUUAACUGAAUAUGACUUCUUUCUUAAAAAGUUUAUCUAUUUCGGAGAUUGAUUAUCUCGAAGCAGUGAGAUUUAUGUAAUAUUGGUAUUAAAAAAAUUUGUGCUACUAAUAAAAAAUGGUCCAUCGGCCUAAAUGGCAAAUCGUGGCUUGAUUUUCUCAGCCCGAAGGCUCCGUAUCUCACUUUCGAAAGUAGUUUUAGCAAAAUGCAGGUAAAAAAUAAAAAUAUUCUGCAAUCUCUACGUAGCUUUUUCAGCAGAUUUCACCUAUUUGACUGUAGACGAAAGCAUCCAUUGGAUCGAUGCAUUUAUUAAGAAGAGGAUCAUCCGAAGGCAAAAGAUCAAGAUUAUCAUCUUAGGCCAGGAUAACAAUGUUCACUGCCCUCGCCAAUAGUACCUUUAGUGCUCUUCUUAAUUAGAUCAUUUCUUGUAUUAUAGUUUAUUUCGUGAAUAUUUUGAGGUUUAUAAAGGGGAAUUGAUUGAUUAUUGGAUUAACGAGGGAUUUGUACUUGAUUUUGAUGAAGGAUCCACCGAUCCACCAUUAUCAGUGAUCUUCUUCACACAUAUUUAUUACAAGAGGUAAAUGAUAAUCAUGUCAAAUGCAGGAAGUGAUUCGGGAUAUGGCAUUGCAGAUAGCAUGUAAAAUAGAGUAGGAGGAGAACUUUUUUGGUUCAUGCGGGAGUUUUAUUAACUGCAGCACCAAAGAUUGAAGAAUGGGAAGAGGUCAAAAGGAUAUCAUUGAUGGACAAUAAUAUUACGAGUCUAUCAGCAAUUCCUAAUUGUCCUUGUCUCCUAACUUUGCUCCUUUAGAGAAUCAAAAUUAGUAUGAUCAUUUAUGGUUUCUUUCAAUUUAUACCUUCUCUUAACGUUUUGAAUCUAGGAUUCUUUAUAUUUCUGACCAAAUUACCUUCUUUAACUGUCAUAAAGGAGUUGCUAGAAGAGAUGAAGGCCUUGGUAAAUCUUAGAUAUUUGAACUUGGAAUAUGUAACAUCAAAAAAUGAGUGCCCGCAACUGCUGCGUAACUUUCUAAAGUUGACAGGCACUCAAAAUGCUGGGUUGCAGUAAUUAUAGUGGAGAAGAAGAAGGUAGAGCUUUAUAUGAAGAUGUCGAACCUUCAUAAGUUGCUCUAUUUGGAAAACUUGAAUCUGUUGAGCAUUACCUUCGAUAGUUGCCCUAUUCUUGAAAUUCUUUUAACAUUACAAAAGUUGCUGAUUUGUACAGAAUCUCUAUGGCUUACAAAAAUUUAUAUUCUAGUGUCCCUCAAUGUUUUACCUCGAGCAUACAUGAAGCAUCUCAAAAAUUUUCUUAUUCAAUUUGCAUAUGAGAAUGCAAGAGAGAUACAAAAUUUGCUACAAAGCGGUUUUCGCAGUCUUCAAACAAUUUGCAUAUGAUUGUUCAAGUUUGAAAAAAUUUAUUUUCCCAAUCCAAUCAAGAUGGAGAGUAAGCCUCAAAAGCAUUGUGAGCUAUCUUUACAAUUUUCACCCCUUCUUUGUAUGUGAAGAAAGAUAAUAAAGAACAACAAAUUAGUAAUGAAGAAAAAGAAAAUGGCAAGUUCAAUAUGGUAGAAGUUAAUUGUCCAUUUAACGUUGCUCAAUCAAGUAAGCUUUACCUCCAAUUCUUGAAGAAAAUGGCUAAUUCUACUCUCUUUUACUUUUCUUGGUUCUGCAGUAAAAUUCAGUUCUAGUUUGAAGGAAAUUGUUAACAUCAAAACCUACAUAUUGCCUAAGCGUCUGCUGACAUCAUAUUUCCAGAUACACCAUAACCAGAUCAUAUAAGACAAGAAAUGUGAAAGAAAUACAAAAUGAGUCACAGAAGGAAAUUACAUGCUCUGCAAUUUUUCCUGCUAAACCCAGCAGUUAGAAUGCUAAUUGUUUCGAGCACCUUAAUACUCAAAGGACCCCAGCUUGAAAUGGCUUUAGCUUAGCUUCCUUUAGCUCUGUUGCAACACACACACACCUCCAGGAAAGGAACAGAACAAAAUACCUCAUCAUACCAAAUAUGAGAGAUAAGACGAGGCAUUACUCUGUGGCAUGCACCUGAUUUCUCUAGAAAAAUCCAAUUUCUCCAUAGGUUCUCCACAAUCAGUGUGUGAUCAACCUUUAAAGCAUUCAAUUUUAUCAUUAAGAGAAGGAAGGGAAUUCCUCCCAUGCGAUGGUAACUCCUUAUUUAACACAGGGUCAGAGCAGAGCAAGAAGACCAGGGAAUUUCAUUAGAUUAAGAAAAGAAUCGCCACCCAAUGGAGCAUUUGAACCAAAACUCUUGUCAAAUUCUUGAAAUUUCCUGCUUUCAUUAAGAGAACUGAAGGAAGAAAGAAGGGGGGCAUAGCCAGAACCAGAUUUAAAUUCAAUCGGGUUUUUUAAGCUAACAAACCUGCAUGAGCAUCUAAAAUUCAAUACCCAUGGAAUAGAUCUGCCUUCAACUUCACAUACCAGCUUCUCUUAACCAAUGACCACCAUUAGAAAUAAGGAUUCUUUAUCGUAAAUUCAUAAUGCACGAAAGAAAUCAUCGAAAGGCCCAACCUUCUCUCUGAGUUCCUUCAAGAACCAAAAUCCACCAAAACAAGUGAAUUUCAAACUCUAUCACUCAUCACUCUCUCUUUCUCAGUUGUUUGGGCCUAUGAUGCCAAUUUACAACAUUCAAUCGAUGCUGAAUAUUUUGUCAGCUUGUCCCAAUUCCAGAUGUGCAAUGUUCACAUUACAUUGUCUUGCCUACCAUUUGAUUUGAACCAUAAAAUCUAUCUAAAGAAGUUCAUGUUUCACACUUUCUUAGCCAUUAUCAUCAGCAUUCAUCUCCCAUAUUCUCAGGUUUAAAUCAUUGGAAACUGAGUGACAAAUAUGAUAAUAGAAUGAAAACUUUAGUGGCAUGAAGGAACAUAGAAGCAACAUCGGAUGUUUUAAAUCUGCAGCAUAAUUUCCUUAGAUCCCUCACAAAGAUUGAAACUUCAAAUGAAAUAAAGUAGCAGGGCAUAGAUUGGAAGUCACGUGCUUGAUAUUUAAUUCUGUCAAAAAUAAUUUGCAGUAUUGAAAUAGAUGCUCUAAUAAAUUUUCACAGGGAUUUCAAUAUUUGCCGCUAAUCUUCAGUAGUGAAACAGGAUAAAAUCAUAACGUGUCCUAUAACUAGCAGAGGCAAAAAGAUCCUACAAAAAAAGAAAGCCAAAAACUGUUACAAUCUACAGAACGCAAGUAUUCUACUAGCCAACUCCCAUUAAAAUUUGAAGCCCUUCUAAAAUCUCAGCCUAUACUUCCUUCUAUGUACCCCAACUGAAUUUCUCCUAGAAAUCACAUUUCUUCAUCAGCCUUAACUCAUAAAUCUUUUACUUUUAAUCAGAGAUACUUUUUGAUAUGCUUGGCUUUACAACAAUGAAUAAUUUUCCUUAAAUCUUUUCUAAUGGACAAGAAAGCACAAAGCACAAAAAUUGCCAUAGUUGGAUAGAUAGAAACAGCUUUUCCUGAAGCUUUGUCACAAGAAAACCUGAACAUCAUCGCUUCUCUUACAAGGCCCCAGAGCAGAAGAAGUGUCCCAAUUAGGCUCAUCCUCCAAGCUCCAAUUAAGGCUCCUGCAACAGACAAAUAGCUUCCUGCAAGAACCUGAUGUUCCUCCAAAAGAAAAAAAAAUGACAAAAUGAAAUGCAAUGUACUACUAAGUUCAAGAGAAAAGCUCCUAAAAUAAAAUUUUGGAGUUUUGGUUUGCCUAUGGUUUUAUGACUCUUUUUGUACAAAGAUCAUAUUUAGGCAUAAGGCUCGUAAUGUUUGAAAUAGCAAUAAUUGACAUGAAUAUGAUUGUUUAAAAAAAAAAGAAUAACAAUAACCUCUAGGCGGAGGAGAUCAGUUUUCCGGGAAUUUGUUAGAUUGGUGAAGUUAUAUAGCCGCAGCAAUUUGCUGUAGCUUGGAAUGCUUUUGCCCUUCAUUAUGGCACUUGCCAAUGCUCCAGGAUACAGAAGAACCUUGGCUACAAAUUCAGGGAAGACUUCACCUAUAAUCAACUGGAAGCAUGUCACCUCUAUAGGUGUUGUACAUUUUCCACUUCUACAUGGUAUCCUACAAAAACAAACAAUACAACAUGUAUUAUACAUGUAUUUCAAAAGCAUUUUUAAUGCUAUUAAGUUUAGCCAAUGAAAUCUCUACAAGACAUCUGGGAUUCCAACUCCUCAUAUGUGAAAUGAAUGUCAAAAAGAAAUGUGGGUUGAGUCGGCUUUUAUGCUUAUUAAUAGAAUUGAAUAAUGCUGCCAGUGACAGUAAAAUGAAUUUCAUGUGAUAAUUGAAUCAUAAAAGUGACGUAAAUGAUGACAAAAUAAUCACCAUUAUUAUAUAAAAUGAGAAAAUAAUUAUGGAAGAAACAGGAAGAAUUACCUGAAAAGAGGGAUUUGGAAGACAAUGAAACAAAAAUAUAAAGAAGAAGCAAUUGAAGAUAUAAAGGCUGCCCAUUUCUUUGAUGAACCCAUCAACAAAGGCUUGAAACUGUAAAAUGCUGUGAUGGAGGGAAUUGAAAGUUGAAACUCUAAAAUACGCAAAUUAAUUCAUGGGGCCAUCUUGAUUGAUUGAUUACAUAGUAAUUGAAAAGUGUCCGUACAUAGUGACAUCAGUUUUCUCUCUUAAAUUAGGAAAUGGUUCAUUUGUUUUUUUUUUUUCAGUAAUUAGUGGAGAAAAUUUGGUGAAAAUAUCAUGAAAAUAGCCAAAAUUUAGGAGUCAUCCAUAAUGUUAGCCGGUUUUUCACUUCUUUUAAUUUUAUUGCCAAAAAAUACGCCAUUUUAGAUAGAAACAGCCUUGGCUAGCCCUUUUGCAAGUUACACUAUUAAGUGCGUGUGAUAACAAAAUGUUUAUUCUAGUUUCCAACCCUGAGAAUUUUUCAACCUCAAAUAAAUAAAUAAAUAAAUAUUAUCUGGUAAUGAUAUGUUAAUCAAAGUUUUUAGAGUGUCAUCCAACUGAACACCCCCACUAUAACCAUUGGGAGAAGGAAAUGAGCUAUCUCAUGUGACAAUAACUCCUUUUUUAACAAAGGAUCUAACAAAGCAAGACGGGAAGAUCAUUUUCUUCCCCACCCAGUUGAAAUAAUUUUCUCAAAAAACUCAAAGUAGAACUAACAGACGUUCUUUCAAUAAUACCAACUGUAUUUGCAAUGCUUUUUUUCUAUUUCAUUAUACAUACUUAUUUGUUUCUACAUUAUUACUUUAAUGUAUAUUACUUAAAAUAAAUUAAAAAGUAUUAAACGCUUUAAUUAAACUUUAAUGCUAAAGAGCUCACUUUAAUGAUGUUUGAACAGCAGUAGCUUGUUAUAAACCUUAAACAUUUAAUAGUGCAAAGUCAUAACCUUAUGUCCUGCAGCUAGUUGAUAUCUCCCCAAGCUAAAAAUGUGUUGGGUACUCUUCUUCCUUCUUUUUUUUAAUGUUACAAUUUAUAUAGAUGUAUUAUUAUUUUACGUUUAUUGGGACUUUAGAUACAUGUAUUUAUAUAUUAUUUUAUAAAUCUACCCAGACUAGUUCAGAAAUUUACUUUUAAUUAUAUUCAAUCUACUCUCAUUAAGGCCAUGUUUGGUAUUGAGUUAACAUAAUUGUUGUAAAAAAAAUAUAAUUAUGAAAUAAAAAUGAUUAACAUAUAAUAAAUAUGACUUAUAAAUAAUUAUUUUGAAAAAAAAUUAUAAAGAUAUUAUAAGUUUUCCAAAUAAAAGUGGUGGAUCAAAUUAAUUUAAUUCUUAAGUCACAAUAGUUAGUGUUUACCAAACAUUAAAAGUUAUUGCCAUACAAUCUCAUUACCAAACAAGAUUAACAAUAUUAGCAAAAAAAUCUACUUUUAUUCUACAUUAGUAUUACCGGUGUCCUCACCAUUAUUGAGAUUUGAGAGCAUCGACCCUAGGCUUUCUUACACUCUGCUUGCUAUAACUUUCCAAGUAGAAUUUUUAUUAAAAAAAUUAGUUUUUUACUUAUUAAUAAAAAAAUUAUUAAAAAUUAUAAAAUUAUUUUAAUUGACAAACUUCUUAAAGUUAUAUUGUGAAGUGAGUGAAAUUAAAUUGCGAAGUAAGUAAAAGAUAUUUGAGAUAAUUUAAAAAUACUUUCCAAUCUCUAUUCUAAAAAGUUUAAAUUUAAAUCUUUAUCAACGUAGACGAAAUAACUUAUUUAUUUCCUUUAAAAUUCUACUCAAAUUAUAACUAAAUAAUAAUAUUAUAUUUUUAAAAAAUAUUAUGAGAUAAAAAAAUAUUUAAAUAAAUAUUUUUCAUCCAAUAUUCAUUUACUUAAACUUUAAAAAAAAUAAUUAUUUCACGCCGCGGCGGCACAGAAAAAUACAUUUCCAAAUCCCGGAGAGUAACAAUUAACAAAACAAACAAAAGGGAUUUUAAUAAAUUUGAUGCCUCGUUCACCGAAUCUGGCCAAUUUUAAAUAAAAUGGGUGACGUGAUCAUGAUCAUGUGAUAAAUAAAUAUUUAUUUCAAUUUCCGACCCACAUAAGCAUUCAUCCCAUCUCAUAAAGAAUUUCUCCACACGAUUUAAACAAAACCCACCCUCUUUAUGGACUCCACUUUUCAGAAGGGUGUUUGCCUUUGCCCACCGAGUAACCAACCAAAACUCUUUCCCCUUCUGCUUUCAUUCUCCAACUCGUUGUCACUGACUCACUGUGUUUUGCUCUUCCUCUCUAUAUGAUAUUUAAGAACUAUUAAAUGUUUGUUUGUUUCUAAAAAAAAUAUUUGUUUUUUUGGUAUUAGAUGAUUAUAAAUAUUUAUUUAAUUUUAUAAUUUUUUAAAAUUUCUUAUUAUUGUUUCAUUACUUUUUAGUAAUUUUUUAAUAUUAAACAAAUUAUUUUUGUCUCGACUAAUAAAAACUUAAACUCUAAAUUUUUUAGAACAUAAAUUACAUUUUUAAAAAUAUCAAAAUAUUUAAAAUAUAUUUUAUUUAUUUAAUAUUUCAUUUUUUAUUAAAUAAUUUUAUAAUUAUUUAUUAAAAUUAUUUUAUAAUUUUUAAUAAAAACUCACGUUAAUAAUUAAAUAACUAAAAUUAUUUUAAUAAAAAAUUUACUAAUAAAAAUUCUACCACACUGCAGAGUCUACUCACCUGUCCGUACUGUUUAAUUUUUAAAAUUUUAAAAAAUUCUACCCUCGUUAUCAAUAUUAUUUCAAUACUGUCACCAAAUACGAACAUCACAUCUUAAUAAAGAUAAUUGGGUGUGUUAGCAUUUUGGUCAAAUUUACAGUAUUAUUUCAAUACUAUUUACGCACAUCGAUAUCAAUAUUAUUUCAAUACUAUCACCAAUAUUAUUUCAAUGUUAUCAUUAUCUCCCCAAAAUAAUGAUAAUUAUUAAUUGUUUCAUCUCAUAAAUAAAAAUUUAAUAUUGUGUAUUUGCGUGUGAUGGCAUUUUGGUCAAAAGAUGAUUUUACCUUUACAUUAUUUGGAUCUAUAAUAUAAUAUGAUUUUCAACAAAAAGAUAAUUUUAGGUUGUCAGAUGAUAAUAACAACCAAAAAUAUUAUCUCUCGCCUGUAACUUGAGGAUAUAAUAAAAGUUUUUCAUUAUACUCUACUGUUAGUUUCUCUUCUUUUAUUCCUUUGAAAUCUUUCGACAAAAAUGGGUGGCACCAUCUCAACUUUCUUAUCAACAGACACAAUUCGUUCAAUUUUAUCUUAUGUUGGUGGAGAAGCUAAGUAUAUAUGGGGUCUUAAAGGCAAUCUCGAUGACUUGCAGACUCAAAAGGAGAACUUGACUGCGAAAAAACAAGAUCUGCUGAAUAAGGUUAAGCUUGCCGAGCAACAAUCCCGAACCAGACGGACGACGACGGUGGAACUUUGGUUUAGAAGGGUGGAAGAAAUAGAAACUAGAGUUGAGAAUCUGCAAAAAGAAGGAGAUCAACAGGUUGAUAGACUCUGUCUUGGAGGCUUCUGUUCCACGGACUUGAUUUCAAGCUACGACUUCGGCAAAAAAGUGGAGAACUUGAGAGAAAAAGUGAUCGAACUGAAGAAAGAGGGGGAAGCAAUGAAAGAAGUUUAUGAGGGGGUACCAGAAGGUGCAGCGGUUGCAAUAGCUGUUGACCGAACAAUUGUUGGUCAAGAAUCAAUACUUGACCAAGUUUGGAGAUGCAUCACUGAUCAAAAAAAGAAUGAGGGAAUUAUUGGCUUAUAUGGUAUGGGGGGCGUCGGCAAAACUACUCUGUUAAACCAAGUCAAUAACAAAUUCUGCGGUGAUGAACAACAUCAUUUUGAUGUCGUUAUCCGGUCGGUUGUAUCUAGAGAGCCAAACAUGAAGCAGAUUCAAGAGGAUAUUGGGAAAAGGAUAGGCUUCUCAAAAAAUUCAUGGCAGGAUAAAAGUUUUGAAGAAAGGGCUUCAGACAUCACCAACACUUUAAAGCAUAAGAAGUUUGUAUUGUUAUUGGAUGAUAUAUGGGAGUCCGAAAUUGAUUUAACCAAAUUGGGCGUCCCUCUUCAGACACUAGAUUCUGGGUCCAGAAUAGUCUUCACAACUCGUUUUGAGGGUACUUGUGGUAAAAUGGGAGCCCAUAAGAAUCGGUACAAAGUGUUUUGUUUGGGAGAUGACGAUGCCUGGAAAUUAUUUGAGGGGGUGGUCGGGAGAUACGUUCUUAACAAGCAUCCCGACAUUCCGAAGUUAGCCGAGGAUGUGGCACGUCAGUGUCAUGGUUUGCCGCUAGCACUCAAAACAGUAGGUAAUGCCAUGGCGAGCAAAGAGUACCCUGAAGAAUGGAAAGAAGCAAUUGAGAUCCUAAGCGAAUCAGCUUCUAAAUUCGAAGGUAUGGAGAAAAAGGUGCUUUCGAUCUUAAAGUUCAGCUAUGAUAGUUUGCCGAAAGAUGAACUUCGAUCUUGUCUCCUGUACUGUUGCUUAUUUCCCGAAGACUCUGAAAUUCUAAAAACCGAGUUGAUAGAGUAUUGGAAAAGUGAAGGAUUUGUGGAUUCCAGCAGCGGGUGGGGGGUUCUUGGUGCUCUCGUUCGUGCAUGCUUAUUGGAGGAAGCAGGUGAUCAUGUAAAAAUGCACGAUAUGAUCCGUGACAUGGCAUUAUGGAUAGCAAAUGAAGUAGAGGAGGAGGAGAACUUUUUGGUUCGUGCAGGAGUUGGAUUAACUGACGCCCCAAAGAUUGAAGAAUGGGAAGGGGUCAAAAGGAUAUCCUUGAUGCAGAACAAAAUUCAAAGUAUAACACAAAUUCCCACUUGUCCGCGUCUGCAAACAUUGCUUCUGGCGAGUAAUCGUAUUAAGGAGAUCACUGAGAGUUUCUUUCAAUCUUUGCCUUCACUUAGAGUUUUGAGUCUAAGAAGAAAUCGUUCCCUGACUGAACUACCUGUGGGGAUUUCAAGUCUGGUUUCAUUACACCAUCUUGAUCUGUCUUCUACUAAAGUACGUGGAUUGCCGCAAGAGCUCAAGGCAUUGGUGAAUCUGAGAUAUUUGAACUUGGAGUUUACACGUGAAAUGUGUAAAAUUCCAGAGCAAUUAAUAUCAAGCUUUUCAAAGUUACAGGUACUCAGGAUGCUGCAUUGCGGUCCACGUCACCAGCCAAUAGUGGAAGAAGGCAACGUUCUAUCUGCUGAUGCUGAAUCAUUGAUGAAGGAAAUCCACUGUUUGGAACAAUUAAAUCUCAUCACCUUGUCCUUACAUGGUUCGCGUGGUGUUGAAAACUUUCUGAAAUUCCCAAAGCUGCAGAAUAUCACUCAAGCUCUGUCCAUCGAAAACUGCAACAGUCUACCGCUCAAUUUGUUGCAUCUAGCAAACAUGGAGCAUCUUGAGGAGUUAUAUAUCGAGGAUAGUAAUUUGGAAGACUGGAAUGUCGACUGCGCGGGAGAGGUACAAUAAAUGCGCAAACUUCACUCGGUUCUCAUACGGAAUUGCUCAAAUGUGAAGGACUUGACGUGGCUUGUUUUUGUUCCAAAUCUCAAGUGGCUGCGAAUAGUUGGUUGUGAUGACCUGGAAGAAAUAAUCAGUGUUGAAAAUUUUGAAAAAUUGAGUGAAGUUUCAGAGAUGAUGGGAGAGCUUAACUUGUUCACAGAACUCGAAUCUCUGAUUCUAAGAAAUGCAAGUAAUUUGAAGCGCAUCUACCGCGAUCCCUUGCCCUUUCCACAGCUGAAGGAAAUUCUCAUAUUGAAAUGCCCAAAGUUGAAGAAGCUCCCGCUCAAUUCCAGCAGUGCAAAGGGACGUAAAAUUGUCAUUUACGGGGAGAAAGAAUGGUGGGAAGAGCUACAAUGGGAGGAUCAAGCCACUCAAAAUGCUUUCUCUCCCUGUUUGGCUGUUUCGUGCCUUCAUGAAUAAUAAAGUGCAAUAAGGCGCAAAAGUGUGAAUAAAGUUUCUGCGUGUGCUUAAUGAUUGUCUUGUCUAUCCAUUUCAUUUAAUUUAAACGCUUUCUACGGUGUUGCGUGUGUGUCACUUGUCAUUCUUCUGUACUGCUGUUUCUUAUUUCCAGUUAAUAAAACUUUUUUGUUCUUAGAAAUGCUUUGCUGGAAAGGGAGAUUGUCAAUUUUUCCAUAUUAUGAUUAAUAUAUUCUAUUUAUUUUCUUAUUAUUUUUAUUACAGUCAAUAAUUGUUUGAUAGCAUAAUAUUUUAAUAUUAUUUUUAUUUUUAAAUAUAUUUUUAUUUAUAUUUAUUAUAAAUUAAAUAAAUGUAUGAAUAGAAAUAAAAAUAAAAAUUAAGUAUUAAAAUAAGAAAUAUAUAUUUUAAUGUGAAUAAAAAAUAAAUAUUUUUUUAUACUUUUUUAUUUUAUAUAUUCAUUAUAAGAAAAUAUUAUAAAAUAAAAAGUGCAAGAAAAAUAUUUUAUUAUUAAUUUUUUACACAUCAAAAUAUAUAUUUCUUUCUUUUAAUACUUAAUUUUUUAUUCAAAUCAUUAUUUAAUUUAUAAUAAAUAUAAAUAUAAAUAUAUUUGUAAAUCAAAGUAAUAUUGUAAAUUAUACUGUUAGAAAUAAUAAUAAGUUUAUCUCCAGCAUGAAUAACAUUAAAGCGUGGCUAGCAUCAUCAUAUUUUAUCUACAGCAUCAAAAUACUGAUAACAUCAACACCAUAAUUCCAAGGUUGUCAAACUAAUCAUCUCAAAAUGCCAUUAUGCUUAUAGCGUGCUGGCAUCAUCUUUACUUUCAGCAUCAAAAUUCUUUUAUUUAAUACAUUUUUAUUUUAUACAAUUUUUAUCAUAUUAAAACCCUUUGUGACCUAAGUUAUAUAGACUUUUAAAAAUUUUAUGCCACCUCUCUUUAGUAAUAGUAGUAUUGAUUAUGAUUUAAUUAUUUUUUUUAAUUUAUUAAACACUAAUCACUUAAAUUUAACCCAAGAAAAAAAUUAGAACAUCAAAAAAAUUUUAAUUGAUUCUUAUUAAGUACUAGAAUUAACUUCUCCCAAUGAUAAUUUAUUAAGCAAACCAUAAUGAUCAUCUUACACUAAAGAACCAACACAUCUUCAAAACACAAGUAUUUAGUACAAAUAAUUAUCCCAAUAAAAUUUAAUGAAAAAGGAAAGAGAUAUUUUUAUUAUUUCUUUUCCUUUCUUUUAUUUCAAUUUCUUGCCUCUUGAUCUCUUCCAAAAACCAAGCAAACUACUUAUUAAAAAAUUAAAAAAAAAAAAAAAAAGGCAAAGCGCAAGAAAAAAAGAAAUAAAAAAAUUCACAGUCACAUGUGGCUACACACAUCCCAACACCUAUCUGUCCAAUAAUUCAUCUCCAAUAAUUCAUCUCCAAUAAUUGCCCCUAUAUGACCACCGGUUUGUUCUUGCAUAUAUAAGAAACAGGAUAAAAUCGUAAUGCGUCAUUUAAUUAGCAGACGCAACAAGAUCCUACAGGAAAAGGGUUUGCAGGAAAAGAAAGGAAAAAAAUUGUUACAAAUUACAGAAACCCAAAUAUUCUACUAAGCUAACUCUCAUUAAAAUUCGAAGCCAUUCUUAAAUCUUAGCUUAUAGUACUACAUCAUUCCUUGUAUGUACCCCAACUGAAAUUCUCACAGAAGUCACAUUUCUUUAUUAGCCUCAACUCAUGCAUCUUUUACUUUUAAUCAGAGAUACUUUUUUAUAUGCUUGGCUUUACAACAACGAAUAAUUUUCCUUAGAUCCUUUCUAAUAGACAAGAAAGCACAAAGCACAAAAAUUGCCAUAGUUGGGUAGAUAUAAACGGCUUUUCCCGAAGCUUUGUCACAAGAAAACCUGAACAUGAUCGCUUCUCUUACAAGGCCCCAGAGCAGAAGAAGUGUCCCAAUUAGGCUCAUCCUCCGAGCUCCAAUUAAGGCUCCUGCAACAGACAAAUAGCUUCCUGCAAGAACCUAGUGUUCCCCCACAAAAAAAAGCACAAAAUGAAAUGCAAUGUACUGCUAAAAUCAAGAGAAAGGCUCCUAACAUAAACUUCUGGAAUUUCACUUUGCCCAUGGUUUUAGGACUUUUUUGGUACAAAGAUCACAUUCAAGCAUAAGGCUCGUAAUGUUCGAAAUAGCAAAUAAUUGAUAUGAAUAUGAUGGUUAAAAAGAAAAAAAAUUACAACAACCUCUAAGCGGAGGAGAUCAGCUUUCCGGGAAUUCGUUAAAUUGGUGAAGUUAUAUAACCGGAGCAAUUUGCUAUAGCUUGGAAUGUUUUUGCCCUUCAUUAUGGCACUUGCUAAGGCUCCAGGAUACAGAAGAAACUUGGCUACAAAUUCAGGGAAGACUUCACUUAUAAUCAACUGGAAGCAUGUCACCUCUAUAGGUGUCGUACAUUUUCCACUUCUACAUGGUAUCCUGCAAAAACAAACAAUACAACAUGUAUUAUACAUGUAUUUCAAGUACGAAAUAGAUCGAGAGCAUUUCUGAUGCUAUUAAGUUUAGCCAAUAAAAUCUCUACAAGACCUCUGGAAUUCGAAUUCCGCUCACAUAUGAAAGGAAUGUCAAAAAAGAAAUGUGGGUUGGAUAGGAUUUUACGUUUUAUUACUAGAAUUAAAAAUGCUGCCAUUGACAGUAAAAUAAAUUUCAUGUGAUAAUUGAAUCAUAGAAGUGAGUACGUGGUGAGAAAUAAUCACCAUUAUUAUAUAAAAUGAGAAAACAAUUAUGGAAGAAGCAGAAAGAAUUACCUGAAAAGAGGGAUUUGGAAGACAAUGAGACAAAAAUAUAAAGAAGAAGAAACUGAAGAUAUAAUGGCUGCCCAUUUCUUUGAUGAACCCAUCAAAAACGGCUUGAAAAUUAAAGAAACUGUCAAAUGCUGUGAUGGAGGGAAUUGAAACCUAAAAUAUGCAAGUUAGAUCAUGGGCCCAUCUUGAUUGAUUGAUUGAACACAUAGCACCUGACAAGUGUCCUUUAUAUACUGACAUUAGUUUUCUCUCUUAAAUUAGGAAAUUGUUUAUUGAAAAUAGCCAAAACUUAGGAGCUAUUUAUAAUUUUAGCCAGCUUUUCAUUCGUUUUAUUUUUUUAGCCAAGAAUACCCCAUUUUAGAUACAAAUAUCCUUUUGUAAAUUAUACUAUUCCGCACGUGUUUGACAUUUGUCGAAUAUCUUAUGUCUUUUUUUUUUAAUAAUUCACUGUAUGUGCUCAUCUUUAUGGCAAAGCUUAUGUUACAAAUAAUAUACCAAACAACCAAUAAAUAUAGGUUAUUGAUUUUGACAUUUCUUAAAUUCAAUAGAUGAGAAUUAUUCUAACAUAAAACCAAGUCUAGGUGUGAUAGUAAUUUAUAAAAAAUUUUAUUUUUAAUCACAUAGUUAUUUAUUUUUAAAUAAGUCCUCAUUGAUUUUGUAUAAUUAAAUGGUUUUGUUGUCCAUCUUUUCUACAUAUAUUUUUAAAUUUUAUAGAGUUUUUACCAUAUUUUUAUAAAGAUCUAACUGAUUAUCAUAUUCAUAAAGAUUUACAAAUUUUGAAUGUCUUUUUGCACAGGUAUUUAUAAUUUUGUCUCUCUUGAGACAUAGACAAUAUUUUUCUUCUAAUGCACACACACAUAUAUUCAAUCUAUUUUUUCAUCCUAAAAACAUACCAUCAAUUUUGUCACAUAAAUUUUGUAAUCUAAAUUUAGUAUCUUGAAUUAUAAGAGAUCUUAUAUGUGAUAAAUAUGUUACAAAUCUAAUAAAUUAUUAGAAAAAUGGUAUAAUGAAUAAAUUACCGGAACCUCUAAUAAUUUCACAAAACAUAAAAAUCAAUAAGUUACCACCUUCUAGCUAUAGGCAAAAAUAAUUUUUCUAUGGAAGAUUUAAAUUCUUGAUAUGAUCAAUGAUUUAGAUAUGGAGAAAUAAUCAAUUAAAUUGAAUGUCACUAUAUUUAUUAAAUAAAUUAGAAAACCCAAAUUUAUCUAUAAAUGAUAUAGAAAGUGUAAACAAUAUAUUAGAAAUUAAUAAUUGCAAUGAAGAAAAUAUAAAAAAAAUUAAAAGUUAAGAGAUCAAUUGAGUAAAUAAUUUAAUAAAGUUAAACAAUUAAUGAAAGAUUUCAACAUUGAAAAUCAUGAUAUAUUAAAGUAAGAGAUCAUUAAUAUAAUGAAUAAAAACUCAAUAUAUAUAAGAUUAAACAAGUUAGAGAUUCAAUUAAUAAAAUAAAAAUAAUUGCUGAGUAAUUUGGUAUUAAAUUUGUUAUAACUAUAAAAUGAAAAACUUCAAAAAAAAAUUGAAGUAAUUGCAGUACUGCUGCCUAGCUGCAGCUUGGGGCUGAAAGUAGAGCUUUAGAACUUAUUAAACUUUUUAACAAUUAUUAUAUUUUCUAAGGAUUUAAAACUUUAUGGCUGUAACAUACAGCGAAUGUAACGUAAGCUUUGCCCUUCUUUAUACGUUAUUACGUAAACGUAUAUUCCUCAAAAUGAAUUAUAAAGUAUCAAACGCUUUUUAAUUAAACCUUAAUGCUAAUGAGCUCACUUUAAUGAUGUACGAAUAAUAAUAGCUUGUUAUGGACUUACAGUCUUUAGACUUUUAGCAGUGCGAAGUCACAAGCAUUGCCCAAAAUCUAGUGGCAUAGAUUAUGGGCGAUAGGUGCCAUCACUCGAGUGAUUGAUGUCGUCGCCCGGGCGACAAUGUACAUCGCUGAGGCAACAAGCCACUUUGCUAGGCCCAUUGCGCCGACAGCUUUCGUCGCCUGCAUGAUGGCCAAAUCCAUCCAAUAAGUUUUUAGCCCAAGAAAAACAGCUUUGGUGACCAUCACGCAUCCCAUUUUGCUUACAAGUCGUCUUAAUUUUCAUAGAAAAUUGUUGCUAUUGAUCUUCCGAUACUGGCCUAAUACUUACAGAUAAUUAUUAAUCGAUUAUGGAAAGGCAGCAAACUUAAGGUUAAAAAAAGAAAAAAAAAACUCUUAGAGGCAAUUUAGCAAACAUCUUUUGUGCCAUGAUUUUAUACCACUAAUUCUCUAAAUAAUUGCUAAUUUUGCCCUCCCAUUACAAGUCUAAAUGAUAAUCUACUGUUGCCAAACGUAUACGCACUUGAACCCUUAAAAAAUAACUAUUCUACGCCCCAGAGGCACAGAAAAAUCUAUUUGUUUUGUCCCUGUACUCUUUUCAUUUGUUUUGUCCGCUUCCAAAUUCUAGAGAGAGAAAAAAAUUUAAAAAAAAAAGAUUUUAAUAAAUUUGAUGCCUUGUUCACCGAAUUCCUCGAUUUUAAAUAAAAUGAGUGUCCUGAUCAUGUGAUAAAGAAAUGUUUAUUUCAAUUUCCAUCCAACCCAUAUCUCAUAAAGAAUUUCUCAACCUCAAAUAAGUAAAUAAAUAUCAUCUUGUAAUAAUAUGACAUUUACGUUGAAGUAAACACCGACCCACUAUUUUCUCAAUUUUUCUUUUCUGAGGACACUAUUUUCUCAAUUGAAGAAUAUGUUUUGUCCAAAAUUCACAAUUUGCUCCACAUGAUUUAAAGCACACGGAAUUCACACUUUUCUCCACAUGAUUUAAAAGAACAGAGAAUUCUCCCGACCUUAGUUAUGGAUCUUAUUAUGUUUUUUGAAAUUCAAUAUUGCAAACUCAUUGGUGUAUCUAGAAAAUCAUAUUAGUAGAGUAAAAUUUAUAAAUAACCAAAGAAAAAAGUUCACGCUCUUACUUUAUUAUUUUUAUAUCUUAUUAGUAUAUCCAUUUACAUCUCUUCAAAAAAUACAGUUAAAAUAAGAUCAUCAAAUUGUAAAAUUUGAAGAGCAAUAUAUGGUUGCAAACAUUUUAUUUUUUUAUUUUUAAUAAUAAAUUUAAUUUUGACCUUUUUAAUGUUAGGUUGCACAUUUGGAUUAAAUCAAAUUAAAUUUCAAAUUAGAUCUUAGAUCUUAUUUUAAUAGAUUCAACUGGAUUUUGGGCAUCUAAUUAAGCAACCGGACUGAUAAAUUGCAAAUGAAUGAGAUUUGUAUGUGAUUUUAGAAUAAAAUUUUAACUUGAAUUUAUGUAUUUAACUAAUCCAACAAGACAAAUCUGCAAGUUCAACUAACUAAAUAAAAUAUGUUAUCUGAAACUUUGGGUACAAGUGGGGCAGUUUAUCACUUAGUGGCUCUGCUACUACUUAUAGUCUAUUCUUAUUCAACUUUCAGAUCUUUUAUAUUAUAUAACAAAUUAAAUUAUAUUCUAAAAAGUGUAUCUCACUGGUUAACAUAUUAUUUCUGGAUAAUAAUCAAUUUUAUCAAAUAAAAAGGAGUUUUGGUCAUUCAUUUGAUCCACCUGUGUUGACACUGUCGUACGUUACAAAAGCUUUUGUCUUUUGUGACUCAGUUUAUUGUAAAUUUUCGUUCAGCCCCUUGUACUCUAUUUUAUUUAUAAGAAUUAUAAAAUUUUCUACUUACCUAUACUAUUAAAAUUCAAUUUAUCUCCUUACAAUCUUUUUCAUUUACUGUUUUUUUGUAGUAUUAAAAAGAGUUUCUAUUUACAAUCACAAUAUAUUAAUCAUCAUAACACACUAAUAUUAAUAAAAAGACAAAAGCAUCCUUAAAUUAAUACUAAAAAAUGCUUCCCUCUCUUGAGGAAUUAUGGUAUCUCAUCUUCCAUCACUCAUUACCAACAAAAUUUUCAAGGAUAUGACCAUUCAUCUUCUUUAUAAUACCAUCUUAGAAUAAUUAAUACUUUCAUGAUAAAAGAAUUAACAAAAUAAGGAUAAAUUCCCUUUGAAUCCAUCCCUCUCCACUAUCAUUUUCUCUUCAUUAGCAACCUUUAGCAACAAUUGAAGCCAUCAUCAGACUCAUCACACAGAGAGAGUGAGAGAGAGGAAGAAGAAACGAAAGUACGUUUACUCAACAUGAAUCGAAAUGAGUUGGAAUCAGAAUGAGUUAGAAUCAUAAUGAGCUAAAAUCGAAAUGAAGAAUUGAAACCAUAAUAAGUUAUUUUCUUGAACUAUAGGAAUCGUAAUUAGAAUGAAUUAUAUUACCAUUGAUGUGUUUACUUUGUCUUAGAAUCAAAAUCGUAAUGAAUUAAAUUGUAAUAAAUUACUAUAAAAUCUUUAAUUAAUUAUUAUCAUAAUUAUUAUUUUGUAUUUUAACUAUUGUAAUUAUUAUUAUCAUUAAAAAAUUAAUUAUUACUAAUAAAUAUUGUUAAUUAUUAUUAUUAUUAACAAUUCAACUCAAAAAUUAUUAUUAAUUAUUGUUAAUAUAUUAAUUAAUUAUAAUGCUUUUUAUUGUUAAUAAUAAUAAUAAUAAUAAUAAUAAUCCAUUUAAAAAAAAUAACAGUAAUAAUCAAAAUCAUCAUCAUCAUCAUCAUCACAAUAGCAACAACAAAUCGGAAUUGGUGGUGGCAUCAUGAAUCAUGAUCAACAGUGUCGACAUCAUCAUCAUCAUCAUCAUGAAGAUCCCCGGUGAAGACAAAGAUGACGGCGACGAGGAGAUGUGGAGAUAUGCUCUUUUAAGAUGGUGAGGAGAUGAUGGCGAGAUUGUUACUGCAGUGGGCUAAAUAACGGACGGUGAAGAUGUGGAGAUAUGCUCUUUUAACAAUGUUCAUAUUGAUGCUGGAUAUUUUGGCAGCUUGUCCCAAUUCCAGAUGUGAAUGCAAUGUUCACAUUACAUUUGUUCGCCUACCAUUUAAUUUUGAACCACAAAAUCUGUGUAAAGUAGUUCACGUUUCACACUUCCUUAGCAGUUAUCAUCAGCAUUCGUCUCCCAUAUUCUCAAGUUUAAAUCAUUGGAAAAUUGAGUUAAAACAUGAUAACAGAAUCUAAAAUUUAGUGGCAUGAAGGAACAGAAGCAAUAUCGAAUGUUUCAAAUCUACAGUAUAAUUUGCUUAGUUCCCUGAACAAGAUUGAAACUUCAAAUGAGAUCAAGCAGCAAAGUGUAGAUUGGAGGUCACAUGCUUGAUAUUUGAUGCUAUCAAAAACAAUUUGCAGUACUGAAAUUGAUGCUCUAAUAAAUUUUCACAGGGAUUUCUAUAUUUACCACAAAUCUUCAGAAGUGAAACAGGAUAAAAUCAUAAUGCGUCAUUUAAUUAGCAGAGGCAACAAAAAUCCUACAAAAAAAGGGUUUACAGAAAAAGAAAGCAAAAAAUUGUUACAACCUGCAAAAACCCAAAUAUUCUACUAGCCAAAUCUUAGUUUAUACUAAUACAUCAUUCCUUGUUUGUUACCCAACCGAAUUUCUCACAGAAAUCACAUUUCUUCAUCCGCCUCAACUCAUACAUCUUUUACUGUAGAUCACAAAUACUUUUUGAUAUGCUUGGCUUUACAACAACGAAUAAUUUUCCUUAAAUCUUUUCUAAUAGACAAGAAAGCACAAAAAUUGGCAUAGUUGGGUAGAUAUGUAAAUGUGAAAAUAAUUAUGGAAGUAAGUCAAUAACAAAGAAUUAUCGGAAAAGACGGAUUUGAAAAGCAAUGAGACAAAAUAUAAAGAAGAAGAAAUUGAAGAUAGGGUAGGGCUAUUGGCUCUCUAAAAUUUAUUUUGGACAUUGAUGUGGUCUUUAAAAAAAAUUAUAUAAUUUUAUUCUUAAGUUAUCUUUAUCUCUUUGAGUUGUUAUCAUAGUUCAUUUUGAUUAAAUAAAAGUAGUUGUUGUGUUUACAUAAUUCUAAUGAACAUGGGUUUUAUUAUGCUUUUAAUCUUGAGGUCCAACUUCUAUAAGAUAGUAUUUAAACUAGCAUCAAUAUCAAUAAUAGUAGACUGAAAUAUUUUGUUUAGAGAUUGAGUAGUUGUAUUGGGAGAUAUCUAGUCCCUCAAAGUACCAAAAAUAUAUUUAUUAAAGCUUAGAUUCCUCAAAUUAACCCAUUUAUCACUUAUUCUUUUUAUUUUGUUUGAUUUCCUAUUGCAAUAAUUUGUGUCUGUAAGACUAUAACAGACACUCACAUUUUAAUAGUUCUUUAUUUCACUAAAUUAACCUCAAUGUAAUUUACUAUUGAGGACAAUUUAAUAAAAUAUAGUUCAAUAAAUUUUUAUCCAACGUCUUAUUUUAUCUACAAUAAACUAGAUCAACGAUGAAGAAAUGAAUGAAAGUUCAUAUGAAAACGCUAUCUGUACUUAUGGACUAAACCUUUUUUAUUUUUUAUUUUUUAUUUUUUAUUUUUUAUUUUGUUAAUAGAAUUGCUAGGAAAACAUCAUGUAAUACGUUCCAUCUUUUGUUACAAAAGGAAUUAAAAACAGAGGUGGAGGAAGAACAAUAAAUUGCACCACUACAAUAUAUGAAAAAGGAAAGAAAUCAAAGGAUAAAAUUUGUUUUAAAUUUGCUUUCUGAUCUUCACUCUUAUCUAAUCCGCAUUCUUUCAUGGAUUUGAAAAACAAAAUUGAAUUGCGACAUUGAAGAGAAGAACAAACAUAUGUCAAACCAUAUUAUGAAAGCAAAAUAAAAGUUGAUAAAAAUGAAAAAAAGUUCAAAUAUUUUGUUUGUGAUGAUGAAUAUUUUAUUGGAUGUAAAGAGGAAAUAAGGUAAUUAAAAAAAUAGGUAAUGAGAACAAUAUAGGAAGUCGAAAAAUAUUCCAAAUAAAAAUUAAUAUUUUGAAAUUAUUAACUGAUAUUCAAAAUAAAUUUUAGAAUGCAAGUACCGCAUCGCUGCCCAUUUCUUUGAUGAACCCAUUAGAAACGGCUUUAAAAUUAUAGAAACUGUAAAACGCUGUAAAACUGUUAACUUUAAAAAGCUUGCUAUAGUCUUUAAACCUUUAAUAGUGCAAAGUCACAAGUCUUGCAGCUAAAACUAUGAGUUGUAUACUCUUUUUUUUAUAAUGUUACUAGAACUGUUAUUAUCUUAUGUCUAUGUACGUAUGUUUACAAUAUAUUUCAUAAAUUUACUGAGAUAAGUGCAGAAAUUUAAUCCAAAGUACAUCCAAUCUAUUGUCACUAACUCUAAGGCCCUAUUUAGUAUUUAGAUAAUGUAGUUAUUGUGAAAAAAUCCAGUAACUACAAAAUAAAAAUUAAUAAUAUAUAGUAAUAUGACUUGUAAAUAAUAAUUUAAAAAAUACUAAAGAAUUAUAAGUUUUUCAAAAUAAAAGUGGUGGAAUAAAUUAAUUUAGUUUUCAAGUAACAGCAAGUAAUGUUUACUUAAUAUAAAAAGCUAUAAUUGUCCAAUCUCAAUAAGAACCUGAGUAUUUUAGCAAAAAUAUACUUUUAUUUCAUAUUUUACCAAUAUCCUCACCAUUAUUCAGAGCACCAACCUUUAACUAUCUUCGAUUCUAUUUUUUGUUAUAACUUUUUAAGUAGAGCUUUUACUAAAAAAUAAUGGUUUGGUUAUCAAUGAGAAUUUUUAUUAAAAUUUAUAAAAUUACUUUAAUAGGUAAAUUUCUUAAAGUUAUGUUAUGAAAUGAAUUAAAUAAAAUUGUGAAAUAUAUAAAGCAUAUUUUAGACAAUAUAAUAUUUUAAAAAAACUUAACCUCUACUUCAAAAAACUUAAAAUUUAAACUUUUACUAAUAUAGAUAAAAUAACUUAUUUAAUUUUAAAAAAAAUUUACUCAAAUUUUAUAAAAAAAUAUUAAGUUUAAAAAAAGGUUAUAAGAUUAAAUAAAUAAAUUUGACCGAAUGUACACUAACUCUUAGAAAAUAAAUAUUUUGCACUACAGAGGUAAGGUUCAAUUAUGUUGCAACUGAGAUAUUGUACCAUAUAUAUUUUUUUUUUUUGGGAAAUUGCCAAUUUUCUCCCUACAGUAAUCAACAUAUACCACUUUUCUCUCUGUUGUUUUUAUAAUGGCCAAAAACCCCCCUGACAGCAUAAGUUUACAAUAUUACCCUUAUUUUCAACUACUCAUUUAUUUUCAUUUAUUAUAAAUUAAAUAAAUCACAUGAAUAGAAAUUAAAUAAAAAAUUAAGCAUUUAAAAUAAGAAAUAUAUGUUUUGAUAUGAGAAAAAAAUUAAUAAUUUUUUUCUUGUACUUAUUUAUUUUGUGAAAAUUUUCUUAAAAUAAAUAUAUAAGAAAGUUAUUAUAAAAUGAUAAAAAAACUUAUUAUAAGAAAAUUUGAAUGACAAAUAAAAAUUUAUUAUAAGAUAAAUAAUAAAAUAUUUUACCUAUAUUUUUUACAUUUAAUUUUAAAAUAUUACAAAAUGUUUAUUAUAAGAAAAUGUUCACAAAAUAAAUAAUUACAAAAAAAAUUUAUUAUUAAUUUUUUUGCUCAUAUCAAAACAUAUAUUUCUUAUUUUUAAUACUUAAUUUUUUUAUUUAGUUUCUAUUCAUAUAAUUUAUUUAAUUUAAAAUAAAUGUAAAUAAAAGAGUAAUUAAAAAUAAGAGUAAUAUUAUAAAUUUAUGUUGUCAGAGAAAUUUUUGAUCAUUAUAAAAAUAAUAAAAGAGUAAAUGAUAUAUGUUAAUUAUUAUAGCGGGGAAAGUGGCAAUCUCCUUUUUUAGUAUUUAACAAAGUUCUUGGGUGCUUCCCAGUUCAAUCCAGCGGCUGAAAUUAAUUAUUGGAUAAUUGAUGCAGCAACUGACAACCGUUGCAGCUGGUUGUAUAUUAAUUUAAUAGCAGUUCAACAUGCGUGGGUUCCGAAAAUUUCUUAGUCCUGAUUAGGGUUUCACUAAUUCCAUCUGAAAAUUGAUCUCGCAACAGCAAUUAAGACAUAAAAUUAGAAUUAGAGGAUCGCUUUUUUUUUUUGGGAAUUAAAAUUUCCCGAUGAUUCAUAUUCAUCGGGAAAUUUUUUUUGAAAAGAUUUAAAACUUGUAAUUAGCUUGCAAGAACACUGCGUUUGUUUAUGAGAAUCAGAGAAAGUGAGAUUGGUAACAAUGGUUCGGUAAUUUCAUUACAGCAAUGAGGCGGGGGCUCACAAACAGAAAGCUACCGAUUUAAAGAGCUACAAUCAAGCUUUAGAAGCCGAUGGUAACAUAGUUAGAACAAUAGAAUCUGAUAGCUUUAGGGAUUCAUAAGCUAUUUGUAAGUAUUUGUACUCCCUGACUAAAUAAUUUGGGAAUAUAAGGAUGCAGUAAGAGUUGAGUGGUCUUUACUCCCAUAGCAUUAUUUUUUUCUGUGGUCUUUAUUCCCAUAGCAUUAUUUUUUUCUCACUUCAUCAGUGCUCUGUUCAAUCUUUAUGUGCCGCUUGUUAUGUUCCUGCAUAUCUAAUUACUUUUGGAUGAUAGUUGAUAUUUGACAAAUUUGCAGGUUAAGGAUAUUAGAUGGGACGCAGAGCUUGGUAGUCAGAACAUGGAAUUACGGUUGGUUGAAUACUUUACAGAUGAGUUUAAUAAACAAGUUGGUAAUUGGGUGAAGUGAGGAAGUCUCCCAAGGCCAUGGCUGAACUGAAGAAGCAAGUUAAAUAUACAAAAGCAAUUCUUUGUGCGAACACAAUAGAACCAAUAUCAGUUAAAUCUCUCCACGAUGAUAGGGACUUCAGAUAGGUGGAGUUCAAGUUCAGAUUUUAUUGUUUGAGGUGCGUUUUAAGUUUAUUAACAAAAUUAAUGUGUUCUUUAAAUGAGUGAGGAACUGUAGAACAUGACAAGUAGAGUUUAUUGUGUGAGGGAUGCAUAUUCUCUUACAAGUGCUUUGUUCUUUAAUAUAGCACUAUAAGACAUCUUCUGAUGAAAAAUAGAGUCAAUAAAAUUACUCCAGACUGACUGGGCCCUUGGAUUCCAAUUCUUGCAUGAGAUAUCUUUUUCCUUUUAUUCUUUUUUCAAAUUUACUAGUGGUACUUUCAUUUGGUAAACUAUUCUAUAUAUAUAUAUAUAUAUAUAUAUAUAUAUAUACUCUAAUCAAUUAUAUUGGCUUAUUCUCCUUUUAUGUUGAUUCACACUGCUGGUAUAUAUAAAAUUUAUUUAUUAGUUUUGGUGAAAAUUUUGUUUUGUUGCACACGGAUAGUAAACCCAAAUACAUUCAUAUGCAUAUCUGGGGUUUGUUUUGUCUUUUAGGAGCAGCAUUACCUGUCAAAAGUUCAAAGAGCUCUAUGAACUUAAGCAUUCAGGGUUGAAAAUGGACAAGAUAUAUGCAGUGGAGUUCAUUGGAAGAGCUACUAUAGUGCCAAAGUUGCAGGUUUGCACCAUCCGCUUUGUUUUGGUAGUUAGCCCGAGUAUUAAAUUCUUGAGGCGUGUAAGGUAGUGGACUUUAGCCAAUUCAAGAGUAGAAUAUAAUAUGUUUACUUGUUUUGAUCUUAAUCUUUAAUCACUUACCCUGAAUAAGAAAUAAUUUUUUGUAUUUGCUCUGCUAUGAUGUUAUUCGGUGUUAAUAGCUUCGUUUUGUUGCUCUUUUCCGCACAGAUUCUUGAUCUCAAAAGAACUUUUAUUUUGAAUAUUCUACAUAAGGACAAUCUGAUUUAAUACCAUCAGUGAUUUUUCAUUUUUUCUCUUUAGUUUUAAUAUGUUUGAUAACUGUAUGGUUAAGCAAUCUAUGCAAUUUUAUCUUGUCGUAUGUUUGAGCUCAUUUUUUGAUGCAAUUCUGAAUAUUUGGUAUGAAUUAUGUGAUACCGGACAAUACUAUUAACUUGUUAAUUGCUUAAAUUUAAUAUAUUGUCAAAGUCACUAAUAGCAUUUCAUCAUGCAAUGAGUUAAACAUGGAACAAAUGAUGACAUGCGGUUGUGGAAUGUGUUAGAUCUCUGGGAUUCUAUGUCCUUAUGCUUGCAGGGCAAAACAAUACAUUCGUUAAAACAUUGAAGACUGUGAUGUCCACAGAAAAUUAUAUGUCAACUUAUGCACCAGACAUGAUGAAAUUAGCCAAAGACAGUGUUUGGAAGUGGCAAGCAAGUGACAAUUUGCUUCUACCAAUGACUUCAGAUCUCAAACCUGUUUCAAGCAAGGCCAGCAAUGACAUCAUGUUCAAAACAGUUUAGCCAGACACACCUGUUCACACCCCUCUACUACAUAUAACCUAGAGGUACAUUUUUUCUAUACGAUUGGCAUUAGGCUUAUCCAGUUCAAUACAGUAUUUCACAAAACUUAUACCAACUUAUUCCUAAUUAUAGUGGACACAAUUAACUUACUUUGGCAACUGUUCUGAAGAGGCUGACAUCAACUACCAGUGAUGACACUCUCUUGUAAUGUUUUGGUGCUAUCUACUAAAUACUACUACUACAUAAUAUUGACAAUUCGUCUGUGUGCAGGCCCGUGAUAACCAUUUAGAUCGACCAGAAACCAAUAAGAUAUUGUAAUCACAAGCAAUCACCCAUCUCUUUGGAUGGUGCUCUAUUGUGAUUCUUUCCUCUAUGACUGUUAAAUAAGCAAUGUAUUGCACUUUUGUUAUGCAAAAGUAUGGCGACCAUGUAUCAACUAGUGUAUCUAUUUUAUACACUAAUUAUGAAUUACUAGAAAUUUUAUUACAUUAAUCAUUUUUAGAUAGUUACUCAUCUCAAACGAAAUAAACUGUUCAGGGACACUUGACCCAACAUGCUUGUGACCGACCUUAGAAUAAAUUUUUGUCACUCAAUAUAGACAACUUCUACGAGGUUAAUAUUUCUUCAAAUUUCAACAAAAUCAUUGGCCACAGGAAUACAUACACAUGUUUCCUUUGGCAUGUUAAGUAGACGGGAGCAACAUGUGGGCUGUACGCCAUUACCUUAAACGAAGCAAAAUUAUCUUGUGUUUAUCAAAGUUUGAAACCAAUUCUGAGUUAAUUACAAAGAAUGUAUGAAUAACGCAUUAUACUCAUACACCAAACUUUAAUCUGAUGGAAUCAAGUAAUUCUAUGUUAAUCAAAGUUUUUAGACUUACAAGAUGAUGGUCAAGUUUAUAUAAAAGCAAAUAACACUGAAAUCUAAUCAUCCUAUACAAACAAAUAUGAUUUAUUCAAUUAUAGCAAACAAUUGUUUUAUCGGAGUUAAUUACAUUAUUGCUAAACUUGUAUAAGCUUUCCUGUUUCAAACAUGUCUACUUAAUUACAUUAUUCAUCGACAAUGUUACUUUGCCCGUGGAAGUUUCAUUUUUUCAUACCUUAAUCACUAUUUAACGCUUCGUUUUCCAAUAGUUCUAAUUCUUCAAAUUUUGGCUUUAUUAUUCCAUAAUUAUAAAUUGAUACUAAUUUGCAGGACUCAAAUUAAAGUGGUUAAUUACUCUAAAGUAUAAUUCUAGCAGUCAAUAAUUACAUAAAAAUAAUUGCAAAAAAAAGUUAAUAAGGAAUAGUAUAAAUUUAAAAACCGCCAAAGUUACGAGAUAUAUGCUUGAUAUUUAAAUCAUGGCCAUAAUAUAUAUAUAUAUAUAUAUAUAUAUAGAUAUAUAUUAUGUGAUUCAGUUCUUAAUUAACCAUUCUAUGAAUAAAUAUGAGAAUUAAGUACAUAUUAUGCCACAACCUUAUUGAAGUGUUCCCACUACAAUAUUAGUAGUCAACAUUAGGUCUAAACACCCACAUAAAUCCAAGGGAUCUAGAUCUACAAAUAUUAACCACUCUAUGAAUAAACAUGGGAAUGAAGUACAUAAUUGCCACGGCCAUAUUGGAAUGUUUCCACUACCAUAUUCGUGUGUCAAUGUUGCGUCUAAACAUUUAUAUACAUCCAAGCAAAUUUAUAUUUGUAAAUAAAUAUAAAUAUGGAAUGAAAAUAAUAGGUAGAAAAUAUAAAUUACAAACAUUAAACUUAAAAUACAGUUGAGAAAGUAAUUAAAUCCACAAUUUAGAUCCUUGAAUUUCACACUCAUCACCUUAGCUUAAAAAAUUAGCCACUCAUAUUAAUAAACAAAACAUUCAUUUUAUUUAAUAAAUUUGUAAAAGUAUAAUACAAAAAAAUUAAAAUAAAGAAGAAGAGCAAAAAAACAAUAUCUUCUUAUUAACUACACUUCUUCAUAAAAUUCACUCUAAAUUUACACUAAAUUUCUCUAGGAAACUCACCUCUAAAAUUCUACACCCCGAAUUAUCAAAUCUCUUGCCUCUAUAUAGGCAAAUUCUAGGUUGAUCAUGUGUGGGCAUUUAGAUGAUAUUUUUGGUGAACUUGCAACCACAACCUUUAGAUGACCUUUGAUAAUCCAAAUACAAGCCAAGGGGUCCAAAAUUGCAAGUAUUGACAUGCAUAAUAAAACCGUUGAUUCAACAUAAUCAAUGGUUAUAAUGAAGUCAAAUCUGGAUCCUCCGUUGGAUUUUUUUUUUAAUUCAAGGUGGUUGAACCACUAAAUUGAUAAGUAUUAAAUCUAGUGUAAAUAAGUGCAUGUGAACUUAGACACACGACACGAUAUCAGCUUUUCAAAAUUAAUAUUAGAUAAAACGGCUACCAAUUCUUUUAAAAGUUAAAAUUAUAAUUUUUACUUUUAUUUAAUAUAUACUUUCUAGUAUUAAUCAUUGAUGAACAAUUUUUUAUUUCAUCGCCGUCUAGAUUGCCUUUAUCUUACACAAAUUUGUUUAAAACCUUUAAAUAGUUUCUAACCACUACAUAAUUUUAUCUGUCGUCCUUAAUCUUGUUAUCCACAACUGACCAACAUAUUGUUACCUAUCAUUAUAGUUGUGUAAUUCACCUUUUGUUAACUGGUUUCCUAAUAUAUUUUAAAAGAAAUGUGGCCAUCUGUUGCUCGUUGGAUCACUUGCUUUUAAAUCCAAUAAUUCCGUGAGAUAAAGACAAAACGCUUGCUAUAGUGCUACAGUUACAACAUAGACGUGGCUGUAGAGGCAGGAAAAAAAUCUAUUUGUUUAGUUACUGUACACUUUUUCAUUCAUUUUGUCCACUGCCAAAUCUUCGAGAGAAACAACACAAAUAAAAAAAGAUUUUAAGAAAUUUGAUGCCUUGUUCGCCGAAUCUCUCCACUUUUAAUUAGUGUCGUGAUCCUGAUCGUGUGAUCUGGUGAUGGUAUGACAAUUACUUUGGAGAAAACACCGGCCCACUUUGAAUAAAAUAAAUUUUAUACCAAAUGAAUCAUAAGGCAAAACACUGCACUUACCUAUCCAUGCUGAUUAAACCCCCUCGCCGACACCUCUGCUCUCACCAUCAAGGCAUCAACACUUAAUAAUGACAAUUGGUUGUGUUAGCAUUUUGGUCAAAACGCUGGACCCCCCGGCCCCCACAAAAAACAAAAAAAAUUUAUGAUAAUAAUAACAUUCAUAAAUAAAAAUUAAUAAUGGGUGUGUUAGCAUUUUGGUCAAAAGCCGAUUUGGCCUUCACAUUAAUUGGAAUUUUGGAUCUAUAAUAUGAUUUUCACCGAAAAGAUAAUUUUGCCGCUAAUUAUUUGGGUAGUCAGAUAAUAAUAACAAAAAAAAAUGUUAUCUCUCACCUAUAACUUGAGGAGAUAAUAAUAAAAGUCUUUCAUCAUACUAUACUGUUUAGUUUCUCUUCUUCAUUUUUUUCCCCUUUGAAGUCUUUCAACAAAAAUGGGUGGCAUCAUCUCAACCUUCUUCUCAGCGGACACAAUUCGUCCAAUUUUAUUUUACGUCGGUGGACAAGCAAAGUAUAUAUGGGGUCUUAUAGGUAAUCUCGAUGACUUGCAAACUGAAAAGGAGAACUUGAUUGCAAAAAAACUAGAUCUACUGAAUAAGGUUAGGCUUGCUGAACAACAACCCCGAAACAGACGGACACCGACGGUGGAACUUUGGUUUAGAAGGGUGGAAGAAAUAGAAACUAAAGUUGAGAGGCUGCAACAAGAAAGAGAUCAAGAGAUUGACAGAUUGUGUCUUGGAGGCUUCUGUUCCAAGGACUUGAUUUCAAGCUACGACUUCGGCAAAAAGGUGGAGAAGUUGAAGGAAGAAGUAAUCAAAUUGUGGGAAAAAGGAGAAGCAAUGAAAGAAGUUUAUGAGGGGGUACCAGAAGGUGCAGCGGUUGCAAUGGCUGUUGACCGAACAAUUGUUGGUCAAGAAUCCAUACUUGACCAAGUUUGGAGAUGCAUCACUGAGCAAAAAAAGAAUAAUGGAAUUAUUGGCUUAUAUGGUAUGGGGGGCAUCGGCAAAACUACUCUGUUAAAACAAGUCAAUAACAAAUUCUGCAGUGAGGAGCAUGAUUUUGAUGUCGUUAUCUGGUCGGUUGUAUCUAGAGAGCCAAACUUGAUGCAGAUUCAAGAGGAUAUUGGGAAAAGGAUAGGCUUCUCAAAAAAUUCAUGGCAGGAUAAAAGUUUUGAAGAAAGGGCUUCAGACAUCACCAACACUUUAAAGCAUAAGAAGUUUGUAUUGUUAUUGGAUGAUAUAUGGGAGUCCGAAAUUGAUUUAACCAAAUUGGGCGUCCCUCUUCAGACACUAGAUUCUGGGUCCAGAAUAGUCUUCACAACUCGUUUUGAGGGUACUUGUAGUAAAAUGGGAGCCCAUAAGAAUCGGUACAAAGUGUUUUGUUUGGGAGACGACGAUGCCUGGAAAUUAUUUGAGGGGGUGGUCGGGAGAUACGUUCUUGACAAGCUUUCCGACUUUCCGACGCUAGCCAAGGAUAUGGCACGUCAGUGUCAUGGUUUGCCGUUAGCACUCAAAACAGUAGGCAAUGCCAUGGCGAGCAAAGUGUACCCUGAAGAAUGGAAAGAAGCAAUUGAGAUCCUAAGCGCAUCAGCUUCUAAAUUCGAAGGUAUGGAGAAAAAGGUGCUUUCGAGCUUAAAGUUCAGCUAUGAUAGUUUGCCGAAAGAUGAACUUCGAUCUUGUCUCCUGUACUGUUGUUUAUUUCCCGAAGACUAUGAAAUUGAAAAAACCGACUUGAUGGAGUAUUGGAAAAGUGAAGGAUUUCUGGAUUCCAGCAGCGGGUGGGGGGUUCUUGGUGCUCUCGUUCGUGCAUGCUUAUUGGAGGAAGGAGGUGACCAUGUAAAAAUGCACGAUAUGAUCCGUGACAUGGCAUUAUGGAUAGCAAAUGAAAUAGAGGAGGAGGAGGAGAACUUUUUGGUUCGUGCAGGAGUUGGAUUAACUGAAGCCCCAAAGAUUGAAGAAUGGGAAGGGGUCAAAAGGAUAUCUUUGAUAGAUAAUGAAAUUCGGAGUCUACCAGAAAUUCCCACUUGUCCGCGCCUGCAAACAUUGCUUCUGGAAUAUAAUUGUAUUAAGGAGAUCACGGACAUUUUCUUUCAAUCCUUGCCUUCGCUUAGAGUUUUGAAUCUAAGUGGAAAUGAUUCCCUAACUGAACUGCCUGUAGGGAUUUCAAGUUUGGUUUCAUUACACCAUCUUGAUCUGUCUUGGACUGAAGUGCGCGGAUUGCCGCAAGAGCUCAAGGCAUUGGUGAAUCUGAGAUAUUUGAACUUGGAGUAUACAUAUGAAAUGCGUAAAAUUCCACAGCAGCUGAUAUCAAGCUUUUUAAAGUUACAGGUACUCAGGAUGCUGUGUUGCGGUCAAAGUCACCAGCCAAUAGUGGAAGAAGGCAACGUUCUAUCUGAUGAUGCUGAAUCAUUGAUGAAGGAAAUCCACUGUUUGGAACAAUUAAAUCUCAUCACCUUGUCCUUACAUGGUUCGCGUGGUGUUGAAAACUUUCUGAAAUUCCCAAAGCUGCAGAAUAUCACUCAAGCUCUGCACAUCAAAGACUGCAACAGUCUACCGCUCAAUUUGUUGCAUCUAGCAAACAUGGAGCAUCUU
RNAcentral lists this long non-coding RNA (31429 nucleotides) under Citrus x clementina. RNAcentral's name for it is "Citrus clementina (C. clementina) long non-coding RNA (CCLE_LNC001410)". The record is from RNAcentral. Lineage: Eukaryota; Viridiplantae; Streptophyta; Magnoliopsida; Sapindales; Rutaceae.